Otolemur garnettii (small-eared galago) is the source of this 186-nucleotide non-coding RNA. The record is from Rfam. Lineage: Eukaryota; Metazoa; Chordata; Mammalia; Primates; Galagidae.
GAGAUGUCUGCCUUUUUGUUCUGAGCUGCGGACUGAGGCAGAGGGUCCGAGGCAUGCUCUAUGGGCAGUACACUGGCUGGUCUCCAGAGGCUAGUGCACAGAGAGAGUCCAUCAUGCUCACAAACACUGCAUGUACCACGCUGGGACACAGCUCCUUCUGAGAUGUUGUUUGCUAAACCACAAGAU